This 429-nucleotide ribosomal RNA is filed under the name Bacillota bacterium. Its description in RNAcentral is "Firmicutes bacterium partial 16S ribosomal RNA". It matches the Rfam family "Bacterial small subunit ribosomal RNA", at positions 355 to 776 of the family's 1533-position model. The record is from RNAcentral. Lineage: Bacteria; Bacillati; Bacillota.
UGGGGAAUCUUCCGCAAUGGACGAAAGUCUGACGGAGCAACGCCGCGUGAGUGAUGACGGCCUUCGGGUUGUAAAGCUCUGUUAAUCGGGACGAAUGGUUCUUGUGCGAAUAGUGCGAGGAUUUGACGGUACCGGAAUAGAAAGCCACGGCUAACUACGUGCCAGCAGCCGCGGUAAUACGUAGGUGGCAAGCGUUGUUCGGAAUUAUUGGGCGUAAAGCGCGCGCAGGCGGAUUGGUCAGUCUGUCUUAAAAGUUCGGGGCUUAACCCCGUGAUGGGAUGGAAACUGCCAAUCUAGAGUAUCGGAGAGGAAAGUGGAAUUCCUAGUGUAGCGGUGAAAUGCGUAGAUAUUAGGAAGAACACCAGUGGCGAAGGCGACUUUCUGGACGAAAACUGACGCUGAGGCGCGAAAGCCAGGGGAGCGAACGGG